UGGGGAAUAUUGGACAAUGGGCGAAAGCCUGAUCCAGCCAUGCCGCGUGUGUGAAGAAGGUCUUCGGAUUGUAAAGCACUUUAAGUUGGGAGGAAGGGUUGUAGAUUAAUACUCUGCAAUUUUGACGUUACCGACAGAAUAAGCACCGGCUAACUCUGUGCCAGCAGCCGCGGUAAUACAGAGGGUGCAAGCGUUAAUCGGAAUUACUGGGCGUAAAGCGCGCGUAGGUGGUUAGUUAAGUUGGAUGUGAAAUCCCCGGGCUCAACCUGGGAACUGCAUUCAAAACUGACCGACUAGAGUAUGGUAGAGGGUGGUGGAAUUUCCUGUGUAGCGGUGAAAUGCGUAGAUAUAGGAAGGAACACCAGUGGCGAAGGCGACCACCUGGACUGAUACUGACACUGAGGUGCGAAAGCGUGGGGAGCAAACAGGAUUAGAUACCCCCGUAGUCCCUGAGCGGGCUGGCAAGGCGCAU
This 472-nucleotide ribosomal RNA is filed under the name uncultured bacterium. RNAcentral's name for it is "bacterial SSU rRNA". It matches the Rfam family "Bacterial small subunit ribosomal RNA", at positions 355 to 825 of the family's 1533-position model. The record is from RNAcentral.